CGCGGGAGCCCGGGCGCACCGGGCUGAGAGGGAGGCUGAGACGGCCUCCGACCGUCCGAACCUGAUCCGGGUCAUUCCGGCGAAGGGAG
RNAcentral lists this non-coding RNA (89 nucleotides) under Streptomyces sp. RNAcentral describes it as "TPP sequence". It matches the Rfam family "TPP riboswitch aptamer (THI element)", at positions 10 to 89 of the family's 105-position model. From Rfam's summary of the family: Vitamin B(1) in its active form thiamin pyrophosphate (TPP) is an essential coenzyme that is synthesised by coupling of pyrimidine and thiazole moieties in bacteria. The previously detected thiamin-regulatory element, thi box was extended, resulting in a new, highly conserved RNA secondary structure, the THI element, which is widely distributed in eubacteria and also occurs in some archaea. The record is from RNAcentral. Lineage: Bacteria; Bacillati; Actinomycetota; Actinomycetes; Kitasatosporales; Streptomycetaceae.